This is a non-coding RNA of Struthio camelus australis, 1006 nucleotides long. Lineage: Eukaryota; Metazoa; Chordata; Aves; Struthioniformes; Struthionidae. The record is from RefSeq and is a predicted model, not a curated record.
ACUUUGCAGAGCAUAUUCUGACUGGGAGCUAGCUUCAGGAAAAGAAUAUUGCUUUUCAGUUGGCCUCUUGCCUUGACUGAUGAGAUGUUAACAGCUCCUAAGAAGAAGAAAAUCCAUAUGCCAAAGACGACCGUGGGCUCAAUUUCCUACAGAGGAAGAGUGUUGGAUGAAGCAUGGAAGCAGGUUUAAAUGGGGCUAAUAAAAGAAGUCUCCACAGUUGUGCACAAAUAGUAUAAGAUGGGGUGCAAAACCUGUGCUCCCCCAGCUCUGGUUCAGUGACAAGAGGACAAUCACACAGGUGACAGAAGCGUGCCAGCAUGAUAUGAAGGAACAUUGGCUCUGGUCUACCGAGAGCUUUGUAAAUGCCUAGUGAUCUGCUUAGGGCAAGUCAUGUGCAAGCACCUGAGAACUUGCUACGCUUCAGGCAUCGGAACACAUCAAGUUCACUGCUGAACAUGGAUUUCAUCGACCAAUCAUUAUACUCCCUAAGUCAUGAGGACUGUGCAGGGGAGAGGAAGCAUCCAAACGUUAAUGGCUAUUGAAACAUCCACUGAAAUGUCACCAUCCUCUGCAAGUUGAGAUGACUAUUUCAUAGUCAUGAAAAGAGAAUAGAAGACCCGUCGAAGAACGUUUGCUUCCUGUUACAAGAAAACGUUUUUAUUCUUCUUAAACGAACAAACUGAUCGGCUGUGAGUUUGUACAGGAACCCCUUAUUGAUAUCUGAAAGCAUCCAAAAACAUUCUCCCACCUUAGUACUUUUUUAUGCCAGUAAGAUCAGCUGAGACAGAUAGAAUAAGCAACAGAGAUUUAUACUACCCAGAAAGUGUUUAGCUACUGAGAAGUGAAGACGCAGUGAAUGAAUGACUUGGUUUAUUAUAUUUUUUCCCACAUGGCUUUGCAUUAGAGGGGUUAGCUUUCUCCAUCCAAUUUACUCUGAUCAAAUAAUGUCAGUGUAUUAGGUUUAAUGGGCCCACUUCAAAUUAGAUUAAAGAAAUCAUAUUUAACA